GUAAUACCUAUCUUUUAGUGCUCUGCUCUUAAUCAACCCCUAGGGUGAGGGAGAUUGGAAAACUAAGAAAAGAAAAUAUAACAUAAUUCUUACCCUCAAACAGUUGCAUCGGCUACAAAGAUAGCCAUAUAACAAUUGACUGACCAUACAAGAACCAUAAGGAAUUAAAUAUAAAGUAUGUAAUAUUGAUGGUAAGCACAAAUGUAAUUCAGAUGAGUAGGAAUCAGUAUUACUGGUCAAGUUGAAGGAGGUUGGUCCUGGAGUAAUUAUAUUUCCAUCCUGGAAAUUUACAUUAGCCUUUUUCAGUAUCCUGCUAAAAUUGCCUCCUUGUUCGUGUUUCACCUUUGCCACCGGCCACAGCCUUUGGACAAGUCCUGCCCUGCACUGAAGAAUUCACAUUUGUGAUGUAGCUCCUCUUGCUGUCUCUUGUAAAUCUCUCACAGAUAGUACUAGCUUGCAGAAAGUGAUUUUUAUGGACUCGGCAGCAGGCUAGUUUCAAACUAGAUUACUUUUGAAGUUAGGAAUGUAGGCGACCAGUAGAACACUGACUUAAAAAGAAGAUUCAGACUGGGAUUUAAUAUAUGUCAAGGAAAAGAAAUCAGAGCUACGAAUAGAUGGAAAUUCUUUUCUGACAGCCCAUGGCUGCUUCUAUCUUGAACUUGCAUAGGUGACCAUGUAGGUGCUGGUGUUCAUUUGUAUCAUCUUAUGAAUAUUUUCUGUAUGUGAAUGUUUCCUAGGGCUGCCAUAACAAAUUACUGCAAAAUUGAUGUUUUUAUUCAAGAGAAAUUAAUUUUUCCAGAGCUCUGGAGGCUAGAAGUCGGACGUCAAGUUGUUGCAGGGCCAUGCUCCCUCUGCAGGCACUAGAGGAGAGUUCUUGGCUCUUUUAGUUCAUCGUGGCUGCAGGUGUCUCUGCCUGUGGAAUCAUAAGUCCAACAGCUGCCUCUGUCCUCAUGUGCCCUUCAGUGUGGUUUUCUUCCUCUGUGUGUGCCUUCUGGUCUUUUUUUUUUUUUGGUACCGGGGAUCGAACUUGGGUCCUUGCGCUUGCACAGCAGGCGGCGAAACCACUGAGUUAAACCCCCGGCCCCAAAUCUUGUUUGUUUGUUUGUUUGUUUUUUCCAGUACCGGGGAUUGAACUGGGGACCUUGCGCCUUGUAAGGCAGGCAGCAGAACCACUGAGCUAAACCCCUGGCCCUCGUAC
Molecule: long non-coding RNA, 1198 nt
Filed under: Heterocephalus glaber (naked mole-rat)
Lineage: Eukaryota; Metazoa; Chordata; Mammalia; Rodentia; Bathyergidae
Description: lncRNA (ENSHGLG00100038769.1)
Source: RNAcentral